RNAcentral lists this ribosomal RNA (759 nucleotides) under uncultured bacterium. Its description in RNAcentral is "bacterial SSU rRNA". It matches the Rfam family "Bacterial small subunit ribosomal RNA", at positions 744 to 1506 of the family's 1533-position model. The record is from RNAcentral.
CGCUGAAGCACUAAGGCCAGGGGAGCGAAGGGGAUUAGAUACCCCCGUAGUCCUGGCUUCAAACGAUGUGGGCUUGGUGUCGGCCCCCUACAGAGGGUCGUUGCCGGAGCUAACGUGUUAAGCCCACCGCCUGGGGAUUACGUCCGCAAGGAUGAAACUCAAGGGAAUUGACGGGGGCCCACACAACCGGUGGAGCACGUGGUUUAAUUCGAUGAUAAGCGAAGAACCUUACCAGGGCUUGACCUAGCGGUAGUAGGAUCCUGAAAGGGAAACGACCUCAAGCUUUGCUUGAGGAGCCGUGGCAGGUAUUGCAUGGCUGUCGUCAGCUCGUGUCGUGGGACGUUGGGUUAAGUCCCGUAACGAGCGCAACCCCUGCUCUUAAUUGCCAGCGGGUAAUGCCGGGUACUAUAAGGGGACUGCCGGAGAAUAUCCGGAGGAAGGAGGGGAUGACGUCAAGUCAUUAUGAUCCUUAUGCUCUGGGCGACACACGUGCUACAAUGGGCGCUACAAUGAGGAGCAAGUCUGCAAGGACGAGCAAAUCUCAAAAAGGUGCCCCCGGUGCGGAUUGGGGUCUGCAACCCGACCCCAUGAAGAUGGAAUCGGUAGUAAUUGCGGGUCAGCCAUACCGCGGUGAAUAUGUACUUGGGCCUUGUACACACCGCCCGUCACACCAAUCGAGUAGGCGACACCCGAAGUCGACGUAUGUUGCCGAAGGUGUUACCUGCAAGAGGGGUGAAGUCGUAACAAGGUAGCCGUAGA